UACAGAGGGGGCAAGCGUUGUUCGGAAUUACUGGGCGUAAAGGGCUCGUAGGCGGCCUUCUAAGUCGAACGUGAAAUCCCCGGGCUCAACCCGGGAACUGCGUCCGAGACUGGAAGGCUUGAAUCCGGGAGAGGGAUGUGGAAUUCCAGGUGUAGCGGUGAAAUGCGUAGAUAUCAGGAGGAACACCGGUGGUGUAGACGGCUUUCUGGACCGUAACUGACGCUGAGACACGAAAGCGUGGGUAGCAAACAGG
Molecule: ribosomal RNA, 253 nt
Filed under: uncultured bacterium
Lineage: Bacteria
Description: partial 16S ribosomal RNA
Rfam family: Bacterial small subunit ribosomal RNA
Source: RNAcentral